GACGAACGCUGGCGGCGUGCUUAACACAUGCAAGUCGAAGCGGUAAGGCCCUUUCGGGGGUACACGAGCGGCGAACGGGUGAGUAACACGUGGGUGACCUGCCCUCAGCUCUGGGAUAAGCCUGGGAAACCGGGUCUAAUACUGGAUAUGACUCCAUGACGCAUGUUGUGGGGUGGAAAGCCUUGUGCGGCUGAGGAUGGGCCCGCGGCCUAUCAGCUUGUUGGUGGGGUGANGGCCUACCAAGGCGACGACGGGUAGCCGGCCUGAGAGGGCGACCGGCCACACUGGGACUGAGACACGGCCCAGACUCCUACGGGAGGCAGCAGUGGGGAAUCUUGCGCAAUGGGCGAAAGCCUGACGCAGCGACGCCGCGUGAGGGAUGACGGCCUCG
This 391-nucleotide ribosomal RNA is filed under the name uncultured bacterium. Its description in RNAcentral is "bacterial SSU rRNA". It matches the Rfam family "Bacterial small subunit ribosomal RNA", at positions 28 to 419 of the family's 1533-position model. The record is from RNAcentral.